This 278-nucleotide unclassified non-coding RNA is filed under the name uncultured fungus. RNAcentral's name for it is "partial contains small subunit ribosomal RNA, internal transcribed spacer 1, and 5.8S ribosomal RNA". The stretch from base 1 to 73 matches the Rfam family "Eukaryotic small subunit ribosomal RNA", at positions 1759 to 1831 of the family's 1831-position model. Lineage: Eukaryota; Fungi. The record is from RNAcentral.
GCAAACUUGGUCAUUUAGAGGAAGUAAAAGUCGUAACAAGGUCUCCGUUGGUGAACCAGCGGAGGGAUCAUUAUAGAGUGUAAAACUCCCAAACCUUUGUGAACAUACCACUGUUGCUUCGGCGGACGCGCCGGGUGUUCCCCGAGCAUCCGGAGCCAACGCGGCCGCCGAGGGUACCAAACUCUUGCUUUUAUAGCGGACUUCUGAGUACAAAACAUAAAUGAAUUAAAACUUUCAGCAACGGAUCUCUUGGCUCUGGCAUCGAUGAAGAACGCAGC